Molecule: ribosomal RNA, 2902 nt
Filed under: Klebsiella pneumoniae
Lineage: Bacteria; Pseudomonadati; Pseudomonadota; Gammaproteobacteria; Enterobacterales; Enterobacteriaceae
Also listed under: 1 other name
Description: 23S ribosomal RNA
Rfam family: Bacterial large subunit ribosomal RNA
Source: RNAcentral
GGUUAAGCGACUAAGCGUACACGGUGGAUGCCCUGGCAGUCAGAGGCGAUGAAGGACGUGCUAAUCUGCGAAAAGCGUCGGUAAGGUGAUAUGAACCGUUAUAACCGGCGAUGUCCGAAUGGGGAAACCCAGUGCAAUUCGUUGCACUAUCGUUAACUGAAUACAUAGGUUAACGAGGCGAACCGGGGGAACUGAAACAUCUAAGUACCCCGAGGAAAAGAAAUCAACCGAGAUUCCCCCAGUAGCGGCGAGCGAACGGGGAGCAGCCCAGAGUCUGAAUCAGCUUGUGUGUUAGUGGAACGGUCUGGAAAGUCCGACGGUACAGGGUGAUAGUCCCGUACACCAAAAUGCACAGGCUGUGAACUCGAAGAGUAGGGCGGGACACGUGGUAUCCUGUCUGAAUAUGGGGGGACCAUCCUCCAAGGCUAAAUACUCCUGACUGACCGAUAGUGAACCAGUACCGUGAGGGAAAGGCGAAAAGAACCCCGGCGAGGGGAGUGAAAAAGAACCUGAAACCGUGUACGUACAAGCAGUGGGAGCACCUUCGGGUGUGACUGCGUACCUUUUGUAUAAUGGGUCAGCGACUUAUAUUCUGUAGCAAGGUUAACCGUAUAGGGGAGCCGCAGGGAAACCGAGUCUUAACUGGGCGUUAAGUUGCAGGGUAUAGACCCGAAACCCGGUGAUCUAGCCAUGGGCAGGUUGAAGGUUGGGUAACACUAACUGGAGGACCGAACCGACUAAUGUUGAAAAAUUAGCGGAUGACUUGUGGCUGGGGGUGAAAGGCCAAUCAAACCGGGAGAUAGCUGGUUCUCCCCGAAAGCUAUUUAGGUAGCGCCUCGUGAAUUCAUCUUCGGGGGUAGAGCACUGUUUCGGCUAGGGGGUCAUCCCGACUUACCAACCCGAUGCAAACUACGAAUACCGAAGAAUGUUAUCACGGGAGACACACGGCGGGUGCUAACGUCCGUCGUGAAGAGGGAAACAACCCAGACCGCCAGCUAAGGUCCCAAAGUCAUGGUUAAGUGGGAAACGAUGUGGGAAGGCACAGACAGCCAGGAUGUUGGCUUAGAAGCAGCCAUCAUUUAAAGAAAGCGUAAUAGCUCACUGGUCGAGUCGGCCUGCGCGGAAGAUGUAACGGGGCUAAACCAUGCACCGAAGCUGCGGCAGCGACACUAUGUGUUGUUGGGUAGGGGAGCGUUCUGUAAGCCUGCGAAGGUGUGCUGUGAGGCAUGCUGGAGGUAUCAGAAGUGCGAAUGCUGACAUAAGUAACGAUAAAGCGGGUGAAAAGCCCGCUCGCCGGAAGACCAAGGGUUCCUGUCCAACGUUAAUCGGGGCAGGGUGAGUCGACCCCUAAGGCGAGGCCGAAAGGCGUAGUCGAUGGGAAACAGGUUAAUAUUCCUGUACUUGGUGUUACUGCGAAGGGGGGACGGAGAAGGCUAUGUUAGCCGGGCGACGGUUGUCCCGGUUUAAGCAUGUAGGCUGGUUGUCCAGGCAAAUCCGGAUAAUCAAGGCUGAGGUGUGAUGACGAGGCACUACGGUGCUGAAGUAACAAAUGCCCUGCUUCCAGGAAAAGCCUCUAAGCAUCAGGUAACAUUAAAUCGUACCCCAAACCGACACAGGUGGUCAGGUAGAGAAUACCAAGGCGCUUGAGAGAACUCGGGUGAAGGAACUAGGCAAAAUGGUGCCGUAACUUCGGGAGAAGGCACGCUGGUGUGUAGGUGAAGUCCCUGCGGAUGGAGCUGAGACCAGUCGAAGAUACCAGCUGGCUGCAACUGUUUAUUAAAAACACAGCACUGUGCAAACACGAAAGUGGACGUAUACGGUGUGACGCCUGCCCGGUGCCGGAAGGUUAAUUGAUGGGGUUAUCCGUAAGGAGAAGCUCUUGAUCGAAGCCCCGGUAAACGGCGGCCGUAACUAUAACGGUCCUAAGGUAGCGAAAUUCCUUGUCGGGUAAGUUCCGACCUGCACGAAUGGCGUAAUGAUGGCCAGGCUGUCUCCACCCGAGACUCAGUGAAAUUGAACUCGCUGUGAAGAUGCAGUGUACCCGCGGCAAGACGGAAAGACCCCGUGAACCUUUACUAUAGCUUGACACUGAACAUUGAGCCUUGAUGUGUAGGAUAGGUGGGAGGCUUUGAAGCGUGGACGCCAGUCUGCGUGGAGCCAACCUUGAAAUACCACCCUUUAAUGUUUGAUGUUCUAACGUUGGCCCCUUACCGGGGUUGCGGACAGUGUCUGGUGGGUAGUUUGACUGGGGCGGUCUCCUCCCAAAGCGUAACGGAGGAGCACGAAGGUUAGCUAAUCCUGGUCGGACAUCAGGAGGUUAGUGCAAUGGCAUAAGCUAGCUUGACUGCGAGCGUGACGGCGCGAGCAGGUGCGAAAGCAGGUCAUAGUGAUCCGGUGGUUCUGAAUGGAAGGGCCAUCGCUCAACGGAUAAAAGGUACUCCGGGGAUAACAGGCUGAUACCGCCCAAGAGUUCAUAUCGACGGCGGUGUUUGGCACCUCGAUGUCGGCUCAUCACAUCCUGGGGCUGAAGUAGGUCCCAAGGGUAUGGCUGUUCGCCAUUUAAAGUGGUACGCGAGCUGGGUUUAGAACGUCGUGAGACAGUUCGGUCCCUAUCUGCCGUGGGCGCUGGAGAAUUGAGGGGGGCUGCUCCUAGUACGAGAGGACCGGAGUGGACGCAUCACUGGUGUUCGGGUUGUCAUGCCAAUGGCACUGCCCGGUAGCUAAAUGCGGAAGAGAUAAGUGCUGAAAGCAUCUAAGCACGAAACUUGCCCCGAGAUGAGUUCUCCCUGAGACUUUAAGUCUCCUGAAGGAACGUUAAAGACGAUGACGUUGAUAGGCCGGGUGUGUAAGCGCAGCGAUGCGUUGAGCUAACCGGUACUAAUGAACCGUGAGGCUUAACCUU